GACGUAGGGGGCCAGCGUUGCUCGGAAUUACUGGGUGUAAAGGGUUCGUAGGCGGUGUGGCAAGUCGGGAGUGAAAUCUCUGGGCUCAACCCAGAGUCUGCUUCCGAAACUGCUGUGCUUGAGUGUGGGAGAGGCGCGUGGAAUUGCAGGUGUAGCGGUGAAAUGCGUAGAUAUCUGCAGGAACACCCGUGGCGAAAGCGGCGCGCUGGACCACUACUGACGCUGAGGAACGAAAGCUAGGGGAGCAAACGGG
This 253-nucleotide ribosomal RNA is filed under the name uncultured bacterium. RNAcentral describes it as "partial 16S ribosomal RNA". It matches the Rfam family "Bacterial small subunit ribosomal RNA", at positions 524 to 776 of the family's 1533-position model. The record is from RNAcentral.